RNAcentral lists this ribosomal RNA (253 nucleotides) under uncultured bacterium. Its description in RNAcentral is "partial 16S ribosomal RNA". It matches the Rfam family "Bacterial small subunit ribosomal RNA", at positions 524 to 776 of the family's 1533-position model. The record is from RNAcentral.
UACGGAGGGUGCGAGCGUUGUCCGGAAUCACUGGGCGUAAAGGGCGCGUAGGCGGCCUGAUAAGUAGGGGGUGAAAUCCUGCGGCUUAACCGCAGGGCUGCCUUCUAAACUGUCAGGCUCGAGCACAGUAGAGGCAGGUGGAAUUCCCGGUGUAGCGGUGGAAUGCGUAGAGAUCGGGAAGAACAUCAGUGGCGAAGGCGGCCUGCUGGGCUGUUGCUGACGCUGAGGCGCGGCAGCGGGGGGAGCAAACAGG